Molecule: non-coding RNA, 30 nt
Filed under: Mus musculus (house mouse)
Lineage: Eukaryota; Metazoa; Chordata; Mammalia; Rodentia; Muridae
Source: RNAcentral
UGGAUGGAACCUCCAGUUUUGAAUGACCUU